AGUAAAGUGGCUGAACAGUAGGCAGUAAAUUGUAAAUUUACUUAUGGGUUGAAUUACCCCUUUAUUA
RNAcentral lists this transfer RNA (67 nucleotides) under Orestes guangxiensis. RNAcentral describes it as "tRNA-Tyr". Lineage: Eukaryota; Metazoa; Arthropoda; Insecta; Phasmatodea; Heteropterygidae. The record is from RNAcentral.